CGAUAACUUCCCAUAUUUCUACAGCCAAACUCUUCACUAUGGCACUCCCCUGUCUCGGACGUCUUUUUCGCUGUCAAGCCAAUCUUGCGAUAACUUCCCAUAUUUCUACAGCCAAACUCUCCACUAUGGCACUCCCCUGUCUCGGACGUCUUUUUCGCUGUCAGAGCCAAUCUUGCGAGAACUUCCCAUAUCUCUACA
Long non-coding RNA from Ornithodoros turicata, 198 nucleotides. RefSeq lists it as uncharacterized. The transcript has 3 exons. The record is from RefSeq and is a predicted model, not a curated record. Lineage: Eukaryota; Metazoa; Arthropoda; Arachnida; Ixodida; Argasidae.